CAGGAUCGAAUCAAAAGGUCUGAAAAAUGAUUGCUUUUUAUCCCAAUUGGUUCAUGUGAGCAAUAAGUAAACAUGUAGUGUCCUCAGGAUGGAUCUAACCUGAGCUCUUUGUUCUGCAGCCGUGGCUCACUGCCCGCCGGCGGGCAGUGAGUCAGUGGGUUCCCAAGGCCAAGGAGAGGCCCAGCCCUGGCCCCCCAGGAUGGCAGCCCCACCCAGGGGAGUGUGAGGCCCUUCUAGGCUGACCUCAAAGACACCGCUCUCCCCAGAAUCCAGAGGGACACCUGGAGGGAUAAACAGGUCAGCCUUGGGUCCAG
RNAcentral lists this small RNA (314 nucleotides) under Bos taurus (domestic cattle). RNAcentral's name for it is "partial maternally expressed gene 8 transcript variant 1". The stretch from base 65 to 161 matches the Rfam family "Maternally expressed 8 exon 1". The record is from RNAcentral. Lineage: Eukaryota; Metazoa; Chordata; Mammalia; Artiodactyla; Bovidae.